UUUGCUUGGUGAGGAGAAUCGCUUGUGGAUUUUCUGUCAAUGUUGUGAUUGUUGCUUGAGGACAAGCAAGGAUUUAAGUGUGGGGGGGUUGUUUAGCCCUAUUUCGUGAUGAUUUUAUGAGGUUUCCUGCUGUGCAUUCGAGCUCGUUUCGUACCUUUUUGCUCUAUAUUUCACGUGCUCGAUGAUCUUUUUGGAUGUACUAUUGUUGCGUGCAGGAUUCGCGAGUUGCCGAGCAUUUUGGCAUAGUUUCGAGCAUGUUUUGGAGUCAGUCUCACGGCCGCCGCCGCCAGGCGGCGGCCGCCG
RNAcentral lists this long non-coding RNA (303 nucleotides) under Salvia miltiorrhiza (redroot sage). RNAcentral describes it as "long non-coding RNA (SMIL_LNC003803)". The record is from RNAcentral. Lineage: Eukaryota; Viridiplantae; Streptophyta; Magnoliopsida; Lamiales; Lamiaceae.